UGGUGGAGCGAUUUGUCUGGUCAAUUCCGAUAACGAACAAGACUCUAGCCUACUAAAUAGUUCGGGGACCCCCACAAAGGGGCCCCGCUUCAACUUCUUAGAGGGACAGGUGGCGUUUAGCCACACGAGAUUGAGCAACAACA
This 143-nucleotide ribosomal RNA is filed under the name uncultured eukaryote. RNAcentral describes it as "partial 18S ribosomal RNA". It matches the Rfam family "Eukaryotic small subunit ribosomal RNA", at positions 1299 to 1458 of the family's 1831-position model. The record is from RNAcentral.